UACAGAGGCCUCGAGCGUUAGGCGGAAUCACUGGGCUUAAAGCGUGUGUAGGCGGAUGUCUAAGUACCUUGUGAAAUCCCACGGCUCAACCGUGGAAUAGCUUGGUAUACUGGAUGUCUUGAGCCAUCUAGGGGCGACUGGAACGAAUGGUGGAGCGGUGAAAUGCGUAGAUAUCAUUCGGAACGCCUGUGGUGAAAACGGGUCGCUGGGGAUGUGCUGACGCUGAGACACGAAAGCCAGGGGAGCAAACGGG
RNAcentral lists this ribosomal RNA (253 nucleotides) under uncultured bacterium. RNAcentral describes it as "partial 16S ribosomal RNA". It matches the Rfam family "Bacterial small subunit ribosomal RNA", at positions 524 to 776 of the family's 1533-position model. The record is from RNAcentral.